RNAcentral lists this ribosomal RNA (498 nucleotides) under uncultured bacterium. Its description in RNAcentral is "partial 16S ribosomal RNA". It matches the Rfam family "Bacterial small subunit ribosomal RNA", at positions 30 to 523 of the family's 1533-position model. The record is from RNAcentral.
AUUGAACGCUGGCGGCAUGCCUUACACAUGCAAGUCGAACGGUAACAGGUCUUCGGAUGCUGACGAGUGGCGAACGGGUGAGUAAUACAUCGGAACGUGCCUAGUAGUGGGGGAUAACUACUCGAAAGAGUGGCUAAUACCGCAUGAGAUCUACGGAUGAAAGCAGGGGAUCGCAAGACCUGGUGCUACUAGAGCGGCCGAUGGCAGAUUAGGUAGUUGGUGGGAUAAAAGCUUACCAAGCCGACGAUCUGUAGCUGGUCUGAGAGGACGAUCAGCCACGCUGGGACUGAGACACGGCCCAGACUCCUACGGGAGGCAGCAGUGGGGAAUUUUGGACAAUGGGCGAAAGCCUGAUCCAGCAAUGCCGCGUGCAGGAUGAAGGCCUUCGGGUUGUAAACUGCUUUUGUACGGAACGAAAAGCCCCGGGUUAAUACCCUGGGGUCAUGACGGUACCGUAAGAAUAAGCACCGGCUAACUACGUGCCAGCAGCCGCAGUAA